AACCCAAUCAUUCUCGUAAACCUCCUCUGGACCCUGUCCAAUUCUCCGCAGAUUUUUCAAAAUUGAUUUUUCUCCUCUCAAAAUAGCUGCUCACUCACUCCUCGACUAUUGAAGGUAGAAAGAAAUCUUAGUUCUGGUCCUUUUAUCAGUUGGUGGCCUGAUGUGUUGCCCCAUUGAAGAAUCCAUAAAGAUGUACCAUAACAUUGGGCCACUGAUGCCUUGACCUCAUUCCUUCUAUAUGUUUCUCAACAUUGGAGGCCAUUGAGGCUCUCGACUCAAUGCUGGCUGUAGGGCUAUUCCUAUCAGGCUUAAUCUCUCACUUAUUUUCCUGUAACCUAUUCUCUCACAUGGCCAUCAACUUCAGUUUAAUGAUUAAAUGUAAUAUUUGUUCCAUU
Molecule: long non-coding RNA, 395 nt
Organism: Amblyraja radiata (thorny skate)
Lineage: Eukaryota; Metazoa; Chordata; Chondrichthyes; Rajiformes; Rajidae
Exons: 2
Source: RefSeq, a predicted model, not a curated record